This 492-nucleotide ribosomal RNA is filed under the name uncultured bacterium. Its description in RNAcentral is "partial 16S ribosomal RNA". It matches the Rfam family "Bacterial small subunit ribosomal RNA", at positions 29 to 507 of the family's 1533-position model. The record is from RNAcentral.
AGUGAACGCUGGCGGUAGGCCUAACACAUGCAAGUCGAACGGCAGCACAGUAAGAGCUUGCUCUUACGGGUGGCGAGUGGCGGACGGGUGAGGAAUACAUCGGAAUCUACUUUUUCGUGGGGGAUAACGUAGGGAAACUUACGCUAAUACCGCAUACGACCUACGGGUGAAAGCAGGGGAUCUUCGGACCUUGCGCGAUUGAAUGAGCCGAUGUCGGAUUAGCUAGUUGGCGGGGUAAAGGCCCACCAAGGCGACGAUCCGUAGCUGGUCUGAGAGGAUGAUCAGCCACACUGGAACUGAGACACGGUCCAGACUCCUACGGGAGGCAGCAGUGGGGAAUAUUGGACAAAGGGCGCAAGCCGGAUCCAGCCAUACCGCGUGGGUGAAGAAGGCCUUCGGGUUGUAAAGCCCUUUUGUUGGGAAAGAAAAGCAGCAGGUUAAUACCCCGCUGUUCUGACGGUACCCAAAGAAUAAGCACCGGCUAACUUCGUG